AGUGAACGCUGGCGGUAGGCCUAACACAUGCAAGUCGGACGGCAGCACAGGAGAGCUUGCUCUCUGGGUGGCGAGUGGCGGACGGGUGAGGAAUACAUCGGAAUCUACUUUUUCGUGGGGGAUAACGUAGGGAAACUUACGCUAAUACCGCAUACGACCUACGGGUGAAAGCAGGGGAUCUUCGGACCUUGCGCGAUUGAAUGAGCCGAUGUCGGAUUAGCUAGUUGGCGGGGUAAAGGCCCACCAAGGCGACGAUCCGUAGCUGGUCUGAGAGGAUGCUCAGCCACACUGGAACUGGGACACGGUGCAGACUCCUACGGGAGGCAGCAGUGGGGAAUAUUGGACAAUGGGCGCAAGCCUGAUCCAGCCAUACCGCGUGGGUGAAGAAGGCCUUCGGGUUGUAAAGCCCUUUUGUUGGGAAAGAAAUCCAGCUGGUUAAUACCCGGUUGGGAUGACGGUACCCAAAGAAUAAGCACCGGCUAACUUCAUGCCAGCCGCCGCGGUAA
RNAcentral lists this ribosomal RNA (506 nucleotides) under uncultured bacterium. Its description in RNAcentral is "partial 16S ribosomal RNA". It matches the Rfam family "Bacterial small subunit ribosomal RNA", at positions 29 to 523 of the family's 1533-position model. The record is from RNAcentral.